Molecule: ribosomal RNA, 433 nt
Filed under: uncultured bacterium
Lineage: Bacteria
Description: partial 16S ribosomal RNA
Rfam family: Bacterial small subunit ribosomal RNA
Source: RNAcentral
AGCGAACGCUGGCGGCAGGCCUAACGCAUGCAAGUCGAACGAACUCUUCGGAGUUAGUGGCGGACGGGUGAGUAACACGUGGGAACGUGCCUUUUGGUUCGGAAUAACUCAGGGAAACUUGUGCUAAUACCGAAUGUGCCCUUCGGGGGAAAGAUUUAUCGCCAUUAGAGCGGCCCGCGUCUGAUUAGCUAGUUGGUGAGGUAACGGCUCACCAAGGCGACGAUCAGUAGCUGGUCUGAGAGGAUGACCAGCCACACUGGGACUGAGACACGGCCCAGACUCCUACGGGAGGCAGCAGUGGGGAAUCUUGCGCAAUGGGCGAAAGCCUGACGCAGCCAUGCCGCGUGAAUGAUGAAGGCCUUAGGAUUGUAAAAUUCUUUCACCGGGGACGAUAAUGACGGUACCCGGAGAAGAAGCCCCGGCUAACUUCGUG